AAAUUGAAGAGUUUGAUCAUGGCUCAGAUUGAACGCUGGCGGCAGGCCUAACACAUGCAAGUCGAACGGUAACAGGAAGCAGCUUGCUGUUUCGCUGACGAGUGGCGGACGGGUGAGUAAUGUCUGGGAAACUGCCUGAUGGAGAGGGAUAACUACUGGAAACGGUGGCUAAUACCGCAUAACGUCGCAAGACCAAAGAGGGGGACCUUCGGGCCUCUUGCCAUCAGAUGUGCCCAGAUGGGAUUAGCU
Molecule: ribosomal RNA, 249 nt
Filed under: Salmonella enterica subsp. enterica serovar Newport
Lineage: Bacteria; Pseudomonadati; Pseudomonadota; Gammaproteobacteria; Enterobacterales; Enterobacteriaceae
Description: partial 16S ribosomal RNA
Rfam family: Bacterial small subunit ribosomal RNA
Source: RNAcentral